This 1298-nucleotide long non-coding RNA is filed under the name Helianthus annuus (common sunflower). RNAcentral describes it as "hypothetical non coding rna". The record is from RNAcentral. Lineage: Eukaryota; Viridiplantae; Streptophyta; Magnoliopsida; Asterales; Asteraceae.
UUCUAUACUCAUCCAAAUUGAUUGAUUCAUGUCGAACCAUCCUCAUCACAAACCAUAAGUCUCCUUGUACACCAUAAAGUGUUAGUUACAAUGAUUCCCUAAGUGUCGAACAACUAUCUCCCUCGUUUAACAAGGAAGAACUAAACCCCAUCAUACCCGUCCCCAAAUCAAACUCCAAGAUAUGAUCCUCCAACUGAUACCCCCCUAAAAUAACUGAACCGGUCAUACCCAUACCGCCAUCGACAAAGCCCAAACACAUCACCGAAUCACUGACUUCCACCAUCGAAUUCCGCCCUUGUAUCCUCCACUUGACGAGUUGGCUCUGCAUCACCAUUUGGAUCUCGGGCACAGUUGCCUGAGAAGGAAAACACACCCCAAACGGCGCCACCGGAGACACCACAGUCAUGUUCAUGGCCGUAACAAAAGCUUUUGUGAAGAUUUCAUAAAGUGAGCUCUUCAUGACAGUGUAAGGAACCGUUGAGCUUAUUUCUACACCUCCUAUGGGCUGCCCUACACCCAAUUUCCUACCGUUAAUUUUGAUGGAAUUCACAUUCACAUAGUACCCAUCCACUGACAUCAACGGAGUGUAAGACAGAGAUUUAGAGAUCCCGGCGCCGGAAAUUAUAAAUCCGUCCGAUGAAGACAAGCAGACAGUGAACUUUCUGGGGAAGUCAAAAGCGUUGACCAUCUGAGAUUGAAACGCAACUUUUGACCUUCCGAAACCCAGCACACCUUUGGCACUGUUGACCAGGCCUUUGACUAAAUAUUCCGGCGAACACGAAAACAAAAAGCUUUCAAGGGUCAUACCAUCGACGGAGACUAUAUCCUGGGCGAGAUCUCCGAAAGUGGUGUCUCCGGUGAUGGGGUUGUGUUGGGGAACCUGACAACUGGGAGAUGGACCAGCCAUCAAGCAUUGGAGGGAGCCAUGGCUGAGGAAGGUCCGAGAUGGGGGGCAGUUGUUUAGCCAUAGGGAUUGACCGGAGAGAUGGAGGACGAGUUUGGUGGGAAGUGGAGGAGUUCCGAUGAGCAAUUGGGUGUAGGUAGUGAGUGGCUGAGGCCGAUGGAGAGAAGAAGAAGAAAGAGAAUGAAAAGAUAAGAAGCCAUGGAAGAUUGCAAUACGCGGCGGGAGGGAGGAGGAGGAAAUCACAUGGAAUAAAUUUAGGAACUAGAUAACACGUUUUUGUGGGUGGAUAUUAUUUUAUUGGUUUACUUUAGUGACACAUCACACACUCAUCGGCCUUAUCCUAUUCCGUCUUUAUAUUAAAAAAUUAUUAAUUAAUAAUAAUUCUUUCAUAUUU